RNAcentral lists this ribosomal RNA (497 nucleotides) under uncultured bacterium. RNAcentral describes it as "partial 16S ribosomal RNA". It matches the Rfam family "Bacterial small subunit ribosomal RNA", at positions 28 to 507 of the family's 1533-position model. The record is from RNAcentral.
GAUGAACGCUGGCGGCGUGCCUAAUACAUGCAAGUCGAGCGAACAGACGAGGAGCUUGCUCCUCUGACGUUAGCGGCGGACGGGUGAGUAACACGUGGAUAACCUACCUAUAAGACUGGGAUAACUUCGGGAAACCGGAGCUAAUCCCGGAUAAUAUAUUGAACCGCAUGGUUCAAUAGUGAAAGACGGUUUUGCUGUCACUUAUAGAUGGAUCCGCGCCGCAUUAGCUAGUUGGUAAGGUAACGGCUUACCAAGGCAACGAUGCGUAGCCGACCUGAGAGGGUGAUCGGCCACACUGGAACUGAGACGCGGUCCAGACUCCUACGGGAGGCAGCAGUAGGGAAUCUUCCGCAAUAGGCGAAAGCUUGACGGAGCAACGCCGCGUGAGUGAUGAAGGUCUUCGGAUCGUAAAACUCUGUUAUUGGGGAAGAACAGAUGUGUAAGGAACUAUGCACGUCUUGACGGUACCUAAUCAGAAAGCCACGGCUAACUACGUG